This 437-nucleotide ribosomal RNA is filed under the name uncultured bacterium. Its description in RNAcentral is "partial 16S ribosomal RNA". It matches the Rfam family "Bacterial small subunit ribosomal RNA", at positions 29 to 507 of the family's 1533-position model. The record is from RNAcentral.
AGCGAACGCUGGCGGCAGGCUUAACACAUGCAAGUCGAGCGGGCAUCCUUGUGGUGUCCGCGGCAGACGGGUGAGUAACGCGUGGGAACGUGCCCUUCGGUUCGGAAUAACUCAGGGAAACUUGAGCUAAUACCGGAUACGUGCGAGAGCAGAAAGGUUUAUCUGCCGAAGGAUCGGCCCGCGUCUGAUUAGCUAGUUGGUGAGGUUACGGCUCACCAAGGCGACGAUCAGUAGCUGGUCUGAGAGGUUGAUCAGCCACACUGGGACUGAGACACGGCCCAGACUCCUACGGGAGGCAGCAGUGGGUAAUAUUGGACAAUGGGGGCAACCCUGAUCCAGCCAUGCCGCGUGAGUGAUGUCGGCCUUAGGGUUGUAAAGCGCUUUUCUCCGGGACGAUAAUGACGGUACCGGAUGAAUAAGCCCCGGCUAACUUCGUG